CUACGUGCCAGCAGCCGCGGUAAUACGGAGGGUGCAAGCGUUAAUCGGAAUUACUGGGCGUAAAGCGCACGCAGGCGGUUUGUUAAGUCAGAUGUGAAAUCCCCGGGCUCAACCUGGGAACUGCAUUUGAAACUGGCAAGCUAGAGUCUCGUAGAGGGGGGUAGAAUUCCAGGUGUAGCGGUGAAAUGCGUAGAGAUCUGGAGGAAUACCGGUGGCGAAGGCGGCCCCCUGGACGAAGACUGACGCUCAGGUGCGAAAGCGUGGGGAGCAGACAGGAUUAGAUACCCUGGUAGUCCACGCUGUAAACGAUGUCGAUUUGGAGGUUGUGCCCUUGAGGCGUGGCUUCCGGAGCUAACGCGUUAAAUCGACCGCCUGGGGAGUACGGCCGCAAGGUUAAAACUCAAAUGAAUUGACGGGGGCCCGCACAAGCGGUGGAGCAUGUGGUUUAAUUCGAUGCAACGCGAAGAACCUUACCUACUCUUGACAUCCAGA
Molecule: ribosomal RNA, 492 nt
Filed under: uncultured bacterium
Lineage: Bacteria
Description: bacterial SSU rRNA
Rfam family: Bacterial small subunit ribosomal RNA
Source: RNAcentral